AGAGUUUGAUCCUGGCUCAGGAUGAACGCUGGCGGCGUGCCUAAUACAUGCAAGUCGAGCGAACGGACGAGAAGCUUGCUUCUCUGAUGUUAGCGGCGGACGGGUGAGUAACACGUGGAUAACCUACCUAUAAGACUGGGAUAACUUCGGGAAACCGGAGCUAAUACCGGAUAAUAUUUUGAACCGCAUGGUUCAAAAGUGAAAUACGGUCUUGCUGUCACUUAUAGAUGGAUCCGCGCUGCAUUAGCUAGUUGGUAAGGUAACGGCUUACCAAGGCAACGAUGCAUAGCCGACCUGAGAGGGUGAUCGGCCACACUGGAACUGAGACACGGUCCAGACUCCUACGGGAGGCAGCAGUAGGGAAUCUUCCGCAAUGGGCGAAAGCCUGACGGAGCAACGCCGCGUGAGUGAUGAAGGUCUUCGGAUCGUAAAACUCUGUUAUUAGGGAAGAACAUAUGUGUAAGUAACUGUGCACAUCUUGACGGUACCUAAUCAGAAAGCCACGGCUAACUACGUGCCAGCAGCCGCGGUAAUACGUAGGUGGCAAGCGUUAUCCGGAAUUAUUGGGCGUAAAGCGCGCGUAGGCGGUUUUUUAAGUCUGAUGUGAAAGCCCACGGCUCAACCGUGGAGGGUCAUUGGAAACUGGAAAACUUGAGUGCAGAAGAGGAAAGUGGAAUUCCAUGUGUAGCGGUGAAAUGCGCAGAGAUAUGGAGGAACACCAGUGGCGAAGGCGACUUUCUGGUCUGUAACUGACGCUGAUGUGCGAAAGCGUGGGGAUCAAACAGGAUUAGAUACCCUGGUAGUCCACGCCGUAAACGAUGAGUGCUAAGUGUUAGGGGGUUUCCGCCCCUUAGUGCUGCAGCUAACGCAUUAAGCACUCCGCCUGGGGAGUACGACCGCAAGGUUGAAACUCAAAGGAAUUGACGGGGACCCGCACAAGCGGUGGAGCAUGUGGUUUAAUUCGAAGCAACGCGAAGAACCUUACCAAAUCUUGACAUCCUUUGACAACUCUAGAGAUAGAGCCUUCCUCUUCGGGGGACAAAGUGACAGGUGGUGCAUGGUUGUCGUCAGCUCGUGUCGUGAGAUGUUGGGUUAAGUCCCGCAACGAGCGCAACCCUUAAGCUUAGUUGCCAUCAUUAAGUUGGGCACUCUAAGUUGACUGCCGGUGACAAACCGGAGGAAGGUGGGGAUGACGUCAAAUCAUCAUGCCCCUUAUGAUUUGGGCUACACACGUGCUACAAUGGACAAUACAAAGGGCAGCGAAACCGCGAGGUCAAGCAAAUCCCAUAAAGUUGUUCUCAGUUCGGAUUGUAGUCUGCAACUCGACUACAUGAAGCUGGAAUCGCUAGUAAUCGUAGAUCAGCAUGCUACGGUGAAUACGUUCCCGGGUCUUGUACACACCGCCCGUCACACCACGAGAGUUUGUAACACCCGAAGCCGGUGGAGUAACCUUUUAGGAGCUAGCCGUCGAAGGUGGGACAAAUGAUUGGGGUGAAGUCGUAACAAGGUAGCCGUAUCGGAAGGUGCGGCUGGAUCACCU
RNAcentral lists this ribosomal RNA (1540 nucleotides) under Staphylococcus aureus F57021. RNAcentral describes it as "16S ribosomal RNA". It matches the Rfam family "Bacterial small subunit ribosomal RNA". Lineage: Bacteria; Bacillati; Bacillota; Bacilli; Caryophanales; Staphylococcaceae. The record is from RNAcentral.